RNAcentral lists this ribosomal RNA (321 nucleotides) under Triticum aestivum (bread wheat). RNAcentral's name for it is "partial small subunit ribosomal RNA". The record is from RNAcentral. Lineage: Eukaryota; Viridiplantae; Streptophyta; Magnoliopsida; Poales; Poaceae.
AUGAGGGGUCAUUCCGCUGAUGACUUUACUUACGACCCGCGGUACGAGCCUCAUAUUCGGAGAUUGGGUCUUCUCCCAUUCGUGUUGCAGUUUAAGCGACGCGCUCCGCCGGUGAACCACGCGGCGUUGACCGCACUUGUGGAUCGUUGGAGGACGGAGACUCACUCGUUCCACCUUCCAUGUGGGGAGCUGACGAUGACCCUAGAGGACAUGGCUAUGAUAAGCGGCCUUCCUAUCAACGAACAAGCUGUUACCGGUCGUGUCAGCGUCGUUAAUUGGCGAGAACGGACAGGCAUUUUAAUUGGCGAGAACAAUUGUUAG